This 694-nucleotide ribosomal RNA is filed under the name uncultured bacterium. RNAcentral's name for it is "bacterial SSU rRNA". It matches the Rfam family "Bacterial small subunit ribosomal RNA", at positions 66 to 753 of the family's 1533-position model. The record is from RNAcentral.
GGGCAGCACGAUGUAGCAAUACAUUGGUGGCGACCGGCGCACGGGUGAGUAACGCGUAUGCAACCUACCUAUCAGAGGGGAAUAACCCGGCGAAAGUCGGACUAAUACCGCAUAAAACAGGGGUUCCACAUGGAAAUAUUUGUUAAAGAAUUAUCGCUGAUAGAUGGGCAUGCGUUCCAUUAGAUAGUUGGUGAGGUAACGGCUCACCAAGUCCACGAUGGAUAGGGGUUCUGAGAGGAAGGUCCCCCACACUGGUACUGAGACACGGACCAGACUCCUACGGGAGGCAGCAGUGAGGAAUAUUGGUCAAUGGGCGAGAGCCUGAACCAGCCAAGUCGCGUGAAGGAUGAAGGAUCUAUGGUUUGUAAACUUCUUUUAUAUGGGAAUAAAGUGAGGAACGUGUUCCUUUUUGUAUGUACCAUAUGAAUAAGCAUCGGCUAACUCCGUGCCAGCAGCCGCGGUAAUACGGAGGAUGCGAGCGUUAUCCGGAUUUAUUGGGUUUAAAGGGUGCGUAGGUGGUUAAUUAAGUCAGCGGUGAAAGUUUGUGGCUCAACCAUAAAAUUGCCGUUGAAACUGGUUGACUUGAGUAUAUUUGAGGUAGGCGGAAUGCGUGGUGUAGCGGUGAAAUGCAUAGAUAUCACGCAGAACUCCGAUUGCGAAGGCAGCUUACUAAACUAUAACUGACACUGAAGCA